Molecule: transfer RNA, 70 nt
Filed under: Gossypium hirsutum (cotton)
Lineage: Eukaryota; Viridiplantae; Streptophyta; Magnoliopsida; Malvales; Malvaceae
Rfam family: tRNA
About the family: Transfer RNA (tRNA) molecules are approximately 80 nucleotides in length. Their secondary structure includes four short double-helical elements and three loops (D, anti-codon, and T loops).
Source: Rfam by way of RNAcentral
GCUGGAAUAGCUCAGUUGGUUAGAGCGUGUGGCUGUUAACCACAAGGUCGGCCCCUAACCCGUACCUGCC